Molecule: ribosomal RNA, 301 nt
Filed under: uncultured Borrelia sp.
Lineage: Bacteria; Pseudomonadati; Spirochaetota; Spirochaetia; Spirochaetales; Borreliaceae
Description: bacterial SSU rRNA
Rfam family: Bacterial small subunit ribosomal RNA
Source: RNAcentral
AUGCACGGAUUAGUUAUUUAUGAUUAAGCCCCGGCUUCAUUACGUGCCAGCAGCCGCGGUAAUACGUAAGGGGCGAGCGUUGUUCGGGAUCAUUGGGCGUAAAGGGUGAGUAGGCGGAUAUGCAAGUCUAUGUGUAAAAUACCACAGCUCAACUGUGGAACUAUGCUGGAAACUGCAUGACUAGAGUCUGAUAGGGGAAGUUAGAAUUCCUGGUGUAAGGGUGGAAUCUGUUGAUAUCAGGAAGAAUACCAGAGGCGAAGGCGAACUUCUAGGUCAAGACUGACGCUGAGCCACGAAAGCA